UUAGCCAGGCAUGGUGACACAUGGCUGUAAUUCCACCUACUUGGGAGGCUGAGGCAGGAGAAUUGCUUGAACCCAGAAGGCAGAGACUCCAGUGAGCCGAUAUUCUGCCACUGCACUCCAGCCUGGCGACAGAGCGAGACUCCUUCUCAAAUAAACAAAAACAAAA
Sapajus apella (tufted capuchin) is the source of this 166-nucleotide long non-coding RNA. RefSeq lists it as uncharacterized. The record is from RefSeq and is a predicted model, not a curated record. NCBI's taxonomy places the organism in Eukaryota, Metazoa, Chordata, Mammalia, Primates, Cebidae. The transcript has 2 exons.